AUGUACAGGCCCCAUUUCAUGAUCAUUCUGCCCGUCUUUUGUGAUCUCCAACCUAUCUGCCUGCUUACUGCCUGUUUGUCUGUUAAUCUGUACGCCUGCCUCUGCCUGUCCAUCCGGCUGUCUGCCUGUGGGUACGACCGUCCCUCCAUGGGCCUGUCUGCCUCGCUAUUCAUCUAUCUGCCUGCCUGUCUGUCUCCCUGUGUCUGUGUGUCUGUCUCCCUCUGCCUGUCUGUCUCCCUGUGUCUGUGUGUCUGUCUCCCUCUGCCUCUCUGUCUCCCUGUGUCUGUGUGUCUGUCUCUCUCUGCCUGUCUGUCUCCCUGUGUCUGUGUGUCUGUCUCCCUCUGCCCGUCUGUCUCCCUGUGUCUGUGUGUCUGUCUCCCUCUGCCCGUCUGUCUCUGUGUCUGUGUGUCUGUCUCCCUUUGCCCGUCUGUCUCCCUGUGUCUGUGUGUCUGUCUCCCUCUGCCCGUCUGUCUCCCUGUGUCUGUGUGUCUGUCUCCCUCUGCCCGUCUGUCUCCCUGUGUCUGUGUGUCUGUCUCCCUCUGCCCGUCUGUCUCCCUGUGUCUGUGUGUCUGUCUCCCUCUGCCUGUCUGUCUCCCUGUGUCUGUGUGUCUGUCUCCCUGUGUCUGUGUGUCUGUCUCCCUGUGUCUGCCUGUCUGUCUCCCUGUGUCUGUGUGUCUGUCUCCCUCUGCCUGCGUCUGUCUCCCUGUGUCUGUGUGUCUGUCUCCCUCUGCCUGCCUCUGUCUCCCUGUGUCUGUGUGUCUGUCUCCCUCUGCCCGUCUGUCUCCCUGUGUCUGUGUGUCUGUCUCCCUCUGCCCGUCUGUCUCUCUGUGUCUGUGUGUCUGUCUCCCUUUGCCCGUCUGUCUCCCUGUGUCUGUGUGUCUGUCUCCCUCUGCCCGUCUGUCUCCCUGUGUCUGUGUGUCUGUCUCCCUCUGCCCGUCUGUCUCCCUGUGUCUGUGUGUCUGUCUCCCUCUGCCCGUCUGUCUCCCUGUGUCUGUGUGUCUGUCUCCCUCUGCCCGUCUGUCUCCCUGUGUCUGUGUGUCUGUCUCCCUCUGCCCGUCUGUCUCCCUGUGUCUGUGUGUCUGUCUCCCUCUGCCUGUCUGUCUCCCUGUGUCUGUGUGUCUGUCUCCCUGUGUCUGUGUGUCUGUCUCCCUGUGUCUGUGUGUCUGUCUCCCUGUGUCUGUGUGUCUGUCUCCCUGUGUCUGCCUGUCUGACUCCCUCUGCCCGUCUGUCUCCCUGUGUCUGUGUGUCUGUCUCCCUCUGCCUGUCUGUCUCCCUGUGUCUGCCUCUGUUCGUCUGCCUGCCCGCCUUUCGGUCUGUCUACCAGUACCUGGACCUCCUGCUGAUCCAGCUGUGCUCCGUCGUGGAGAAGCACACCGACAGCAGCGUGCUGGAGGCGUGUGCGUGUCUGGCCAGCGCUCUCUGCUCGGACGCAUACACCUUCUCGGCCCGCGCCGACCGGGCUUUCAGCCAGCUGCUGGACCUGUUGGCCGAGUGCUUCAACAGCUACUUUGA
Molecule: long non-coding RNA, 1512 nt
Filed under: Gadus morhua (Atlantic cod)
Lineage: Eukaryota; Metazoa; Chordata; Actinopteri; Gadiformes; Gadidae
Description: lncRNA (ENSGMOG00000029965.1)
Source: RNAcentral